AAUGAGGCGAACCGGGGGAACUGAAACAUCUAAGUACCCCGAGGAAAAGAAAUCAACCGAGAUUCCCCCAGUAGCGGCGAGCGAACGGGGAGCAGCCCAGAGCCUGAAUCAGUGUGUGUGUUAGUGGAAGCGUCUGGAAAGGCGCGCGAUACAGGGUGACAGCCCCGUACACAAAAAUGCACAUGCUGUGAGCUCGAUGAGUAGGGCGGGACACGUGGUAUCCUGU
Molecule: ribosomal RNA, 226 nt
Filed under: Escherichia coli O5:K4(L):H4 str. ATCC 23502
Lineage: Bacteria; Pseudomonadati; Pseudomonadota; Gammaproteobacteria; Enterobacterales; Enterobacteriaceae
Description: Large Subunit Ribosomal RNA; lsuRNA; LSU rRNA
Rfam family: Bacterial large subunit ribosomal RNA
Source: RNAcentral